This is a long non-coding RNA of Cyprinodon tularosa, 1097 nucleotides long. RefSeq lists it as uncharacterized. The transcript is spliced from 2 exons. The record is from RefSeq and is a predicted model, not a curated record. NCBI's taxonomy places the organism in Eukaryota, Metazoa, Chordata, Actinopteri, Cyprinodontiformes, Cyprinodontidae.
UGGCCAGAGUGUUUUUGCACUUGGUAAAAUUACUCAUGAGGAUUAUUCCAACAUCUGAUGGUUUGACCCCUUUUGAGAUAGUGAAUGGGAGACCUUUUGUUCUACCUCUAUGGGAAGGACAGCCAUGGGCAGAAAAAGAACAAGAUGACAUUGACCCGCUAACUAAGUGGAUGCUGAAGCUUUUCAGUGACAAAACUGUUCGGAAAACAUGUAAUCUGCCUAGUGCUCCUUUUGUUUCCCCACAGGAAGGCCUGAAGCCUGGAGACCGAGUGCUGAUUAAAAUCAUCAAAAGAAAAACUUGGAAAGCUCUGAGGUGGGAAGGACCCUACAUAGUGCAACUAACAACCCCCACCGCCGUGAAAAUCCAGGAAAGAGACACUUGGAUCCACCAGAGUUACUGACCACUCGUCUCACCGCUGGUGAAGAAAACAACCUAACCCAGUCCUUUAGAGUCCUAGUUAAUGGGUGUUUCAUUGGAAGAGCUGGUGAAGACGGGAAAACUAAUGACGUUCUGCUGCCUGGUGGUGACCAUUGGACCGGUGUUCCUAGGGACUUAAACUGACUGUCUGAAACAAAGGAAGAGCAGGAUGAUUUUUGAUGGAUCCACAGCAAGUCAUCCUACAGUGCCAAAAUGUGGUGGCAGCAUUCCAAGCGCGUUGCUGAAGAUUUGAACAAAACAGACUGUUAUGUUUGUACUCAUAUUCCUACUUCUAUGAAUAUAAUAUGAAUUGAAAGAUGCUGAUGUUUUUUAUGUUUAACAGGGGCGAAAUGUUAUAGUUAUGAUUAUAAAAUUAUGCUACAUUUGUGUGCUGUGAUUCAAUCAAGAGGGUCGUAGACUUUUGUGACCUGCAUCCUGCUAUCCUGUGAUUCAAUCAUUAGGUCAUGAGGCAAAGUCACACGGUUGCAUCCUGCUGUGAUUCAAUCAAGAGGAGCAUUUUGUCCUAUGACCCAAUCAAUUGCCUUGUCAAAAGAACACUGUUCUGUAACCCAACCCAUGUGUUAUGAUCUGCUAAUAAAAGGCUUCUGCUGAGGAGACAGAGAGAGUGCAGAUGUAGCUGAACGUGACUCUCUCCUCUUGCAGGAGCCAAAGAACCCUA